UACAGGGGUGGCAAGCGUUGUUCGGAAUUACUGGGCGUAAAGGGCGCGUAGGCGGCCUCCUAAGUCAGACGUGAAAUCCCCCGGCUUAACCUGGGAACUGCGUCUGAUACUGGGAGGCUAGAGUGCGGGAGAGGGAUGCGGAAUUCCAGGUGUAGCGGUGAAAUGCGUAGAUAUCUGGAGGAACACCGGUGGCGAAGGCGGCAUCCUGGACCGACACUGACGCUGAGGCGCGAAAGCUAGGGUAGCAAACGGG
RNAcentral lists this ribosomal RNA (253 nucleotides) under uncultured bacterium. RNAcentral describes it as "partial 16S ribosomal RNA". It matches the Rfam family "Bacterial small subunit ribosomal RNA", at positions 524 to 776 of the family's 1533-position model. The record is from RNAcentral.